RNAcentral lists this long non-coding RNA (1198 nucleotides) under Paramuricea clavata. The record is from RNAcentral. Lineage: Eukaryota; Metazoa; Cnidaria; Anthozoa; Malacalcyonacea; Plexauridae.
UGCAGUGUUGACAAUAGAAAAUUAUAUUGGGAAGUUGUCAUUUCUACAGUAAAAACAGCUUUUUUUUCAAGUAGUACGAAUUGUGACUUCGAUUUAUCUGUGGAAUUAUUUGAACAGAAGGUAAAGCAGUAAUUUUGUUGUAUUUAGAAAGCAAACAGUGUCAUAUUUUUAAAAAUAUAGCGCACUGAAUAUAAAUUUGAGCAUCAUUAAAAUGUGUUCGCUAUGAUGCCAUUUUGUCUCCGGUAUAUACGGAGUUCUGCUUUUAUACUUGUGGAUAUUCGAAUUUAUUUGGCUCAAAAACACCAUUACUUCAAUAUCCCUUUCUUGUUUUUCCUUGGAUAGGUUUUAACAAGAUAGAACUCGAGAUUACUUGGGUCCAAAGACGCUAGAUUAUAAAAUCUUGAUGUGACUUGAUACUACAAAUAGAAUAUGUCUUAUAUUUAAUACUACAAAUAGAAUGUCUUUUAAGUACAAACUUCAAUGAAUUGAUAAAGUGUAAGGAUAGUGUUUAAAGUCGCUUCAUGUGUAGAAGCUGAAUUACUUUAGUUUAUACACUGUAUAUUGUCAAGAUCACAUGUUGAUAUGACUUACUAGCAACUUACUACAGACUUACUACUUAUUUAUAAUACUUUAGAGUUUGGACAUUAGAACAUUGCAAUUGCCUGACAGAGACUGUUAGGGCCUGUUUGUAUGGAAGCCGGGCUGGCCCGCUUAGCAAGACAGCCCGGUAAGGUAUAGGUAAGCAGGAUGAUUUCUCUUGUGUUUAUUUGAGAAAAUUUCAUUCCGCUUACCGGGACAAUUUUGUUGUUUUCAUUGACAUUAUUUUGCCAGUUGUUAAAAAUAGCUUGCGGCGGUAUCUUUGAACUUUCAUCCCGGCAACCGGGCUAGCCUGCUUAUGAUUGUUUAUGUGGAGAAAUUUCCAUCCUGGUCUUGGCAACCGGGCCUGCCUGCUUGUCCAUAGAAAUGAUAAUUUGUACUAUAAAAAUAACUAGACAGUGAGAUCUCACUUACCGGGCUGUCUCACUUAGUGGGCCAGCCAGUUUCGAUAUAAACAGGCCCUUAGACAACUGCUAAAAGCUGCAAGUUUUAAAGCAAUAUCAUCUAUAUCACAGAAUACUAGUGACAUACUUUGUGUUUUUUCUGUUAUUUUUGUACAAUACCUUUUUGAAAUUGUUGAUACUGGUCUCAUUGUAACUCA